GACCUGCCCCCAACUGAGUCAUUGCCUGCUUUUGUGCUCUGUUUGAUGUGUACAACAAAAGGAGGUUCAGCUAUGUGUCAGACGACCAGUACCUGAGGCCUAUCUGUUACAUUUAAGGGGACUUCCUGAAAAGAACUGCUUCACAUUUAGUUUGCUAAUUUAAAAAAAAAAAAAAGAUAUUUGAAAAGACUAGAAACACAUAAAUGGUUGUAAAAGUCUAAAAUAAGAUGGAAUCAAGUCACUCUUGAGCAGUUUCAACAUGAAUGGUUAGGCCACACGUAUAAGAAUGUGUCGGUGAAGCCACAUCACUGUACGGUAUCUCAGCACACAGUUGCCAUGGCAAAGAAGUCCUACUGGUCUCCAAGGAAGAAAAUCAGCUGACUUGGUGUCUCUAAGCAGAGAAAGAAAAGCCAGAGUGAAACUGAAAUAAAAGUUGUGUGUGUUAAUAUGGUCUAUAUAAGGAUAUGGUCUAAUCAAUCAGGAAGUAACAGUGGAGCACAUCCUCAUAGACCAGGCAAAGGAAAGACACUUUCCAACAGCUUGUGUUUCUGCAACAGAAAUGUUCCACCUCUCAUUAACCGCUGACCUCUUUCGUCAGGAUAUCCUCGUGAUGAACCAGGCCUCCUACAUCCACAGAAGCUCAAUGAAGACUAGCAUGUUGAUUAGCAUGGUCACGGUUUUCAUGGUUUCAUUACAGUGCCUACAAAAACUAUCAGUCACACUAAAAAAUGUGAAUUUCAUUACAUAAGAUAAGAUGUCUUUAGACGUCUUUAUAACGGUCUGCAUCCAUAAGGUUGCCAUGGGGACCAAAGAAAAGCUGCUUCCAUAUCAAGAAAGAGAGGCAUUGAAAGAGUGUGGCUGGCAAUGUUUGCAAGUCCCAAACCUCUUAUUCAUUUCCUCACUCCGGGGUCAUUAUAGGUUACCUGCUUUUUCAUUGCGGCUGCUGUUGUUUUGGUGUUUCAUCUGCUUCUUUUCUUCUAAGCGUGUGCCCUCCGGACUCUGUCCACCCUAGUAGGGACCAGUCGUUCCUCCUCGCAUCAGCUGCGACACAGCCAGGCCUCCGUAUGGCUGGAGGUCGUAAGGUCACCUCGGCUCAGGUGAAGUGUUCCCGCUGCUCUUGGCAAGAGCUGUUCAAUAUGGCUGCUGUAUUUCUGAUGACACUUGACCACGGUACCGAUAGCGAAGAAGGAGACAGUGAUGCCCAGGGGAAGGAAAGCAGCUGGAUGGACGUCAGGGCCGUGUUUACUGCUUAGUUCCAGCGGCAGCCUCGUGUAAACACACACACACGAUCAUGGCUGCCAGCGCAGGUCACUACUACUCAAUGCUGCCUGGAAAACUAAGAGAAGAGACAUGAAGCUCAAGUCUUGAAAAAAGACUUUUAUAAAGAAACUGGGAGUGUCUGCUUGUGCAAUCUGUUAUUUUGAAUUGUAAUACUAUUUCACAAUAUUACUGUUUGUACUGCAUUGAUCAAAUAAACACAGCCUUGGUGAGCAUAA
Molecule: long non-coding RNA, 1496 nt
Organism: Megalobrama amblycephala (Wuchang bream)
Lineage: Eukaryota; Metazoa; Chordata; Actinopteri; Cypriniformes; Xenocyprididae
Exons: 3
Source: RefSeq, a predicted model, not a curated record